GACGAACGCUGGCGGCGUGCCUAAUACAUGCAAGUCGAGCGAACAUUUGAGAGCUUGCUCUCAAAUGUUAGCGGCGGACGGGUGAGUAACACGUGGGUGACCUGCCUCUAGCUCUGGGAUAAGCCUGGGAAACUGGGUCUAAUACCGGAUAUGACUCCACGGCGCAUGUUGUGGGGUGGAAAGCCUUGUGUGGCUAGAGAUGGGCCCGCGGCCUAUCAGCUUGUUGGUGGGGUGAUGGCCUACCAAGGCGACGACGGGUAGCCGGCCUGAGAGGGCGACCGGCCACACUGGGACUGAGACACGGCCCAGACUCCUACGGGAGGCAGCAGUGGGGAAUCUUGCGCAAUGGGCGAAAGCCUGACGCA
This 365-nucleotide ribosomal RNA is filed under the name uncultured bacterium. RNAcentral describes it as "bacterial SSU rRNA". It matches the Rfam family "Bacterial small subunit ribosomal RNA", at positions 28 to 390 of the family's 1533-position model. The record is from RNAcentral.